AUGUUACCAAAGGCUCCUCAAGUCACUAUAAGGUCCAGAUAUGAAGAAAGGAGCUUCCGUCUCUUCCAAACCACGUGGCAGAGCCUUGCUGAGUGCACCGCUCCUGUGGCACCGAAGACAGCCAAGACCCCAGUCAGCUAAACCGCAUCUUUAGCCGCGCUGCUGGCCUGUGGAGGAGGAAGCUUCUUUCCUGUUGGGCUCCCUGUGAGCGGGCCUUCCAUGCUUUGGCGGAGGCGUGCAUCAUGGUCAAGCUGACAGCGAAAACCUGUUUACCAGUAAUGCAGUUCAUAAAAUUAUUCCUGAGCACCUCCCAUAUGUGGAGAGGGGGCUUCCCGCUGAAAACCUGCCGCCUUGUGCUCCGCCUGCUCUGGCUCGGUUGACUGCGAGGACUCUUCGCGUCUCCAUGAGGGAGUUUGGACAGGACUUGUCAUCAUGGUUGGAAGAACUUUCUCUGAAUUCUCUUCGUGAGGAAGUUGAUGUCUUGGACACAGUAUUAUUUUCCUUUGAGGGACUGUUUCCUGUUAAAAGGAAUUUAGUUUUUCAUAAAGAACCUCCAAAUUUGCUAAAAACUGGUUUAAUAAUCUGUUUUAUUUCCUGUGUCAAGUAUCAAUGCGUGAAAAAUUUUUGAAUAUCAUGGUUAAUCCGUGGACUGCUGAACACAACAGACUGAGCAUCAUGUCAGAGGUGCACCUUGUGAUUUGUGAAAAAUGUUGAACCUACAGAAAAAUUGAAAAAGUAAUAUAAUCCUGGUAAUGUUUACUAGACUCGGUGAAUGUCUUCACAUUUUGCACUUUUGUGCACGAACACAUGCAAACAUCCCUGCCCCUCCAUCAGGAGUCGUUUGAGUCUGUCGCUCACAGUAAGAUUCAGGCUAAACAUCUUUGGAAAGACUGUAAAACAGCAGAGGCCGCAGUGCUUUUGGAUGAGAUCGGGAGGUGACAGGCAUCCCCUCUGACAUAAGUGAAGAACGUGGUGGUCCUCCCUCAGCUCAGGUGACAUGGGCGACCACUGCACAUCUGGGGAGGGGCUCGAAGAGUCAGUCACUCAGGGCUUUAGUGGGUGAGAAGGAUGGCAGAACACCGGCGGCUCUGCCUAGCGGUGCAUUUAAUUAUUUCCGUUUUCUUGAGUCUAAUUCACAUACAUCGUUGGUUCGUGGAGCUGUUCCCUCCUUCUCUAUUUCCAAGGCAAAAAUCUCUGAUGUCAUCCCUGUCCUAUCCACACACAACUCCCAGGCUGACCUUCCAGAAGUUUGCUUUUUCCCUUCAAGGAUAUUUUUGAUAGUCAUUUAUAUGAAGUUUGACUUAAAUAGAAAGACCUGUGGAUGGGGUAAGGGCAGGGCAGGGAACCACAGAUCUGCCCCAGGCCCGGUGCUUCCUAGGGUCACUCAAAACUCUGUCUUAGUUUUCAUUUUAAACCCAUGUCACUCUCGGGGCAGGGGGCAGGGGGCAGAGGGCAGAGGGCAGGGGAAUACUUAGCAGAAGAGUUGAGAAGUGUUCAUUAAGUGGACGUCUAAGAAAUCGUGACUGAAAUCCUGCAAGAGGAAAAGAAACAAACAGGAGAAUGGGGCCAAACGCCUCAAGUCCUAGAGUCUCCAGGAGGGGCCGUGAGUGAUAGCCUGUGCUCCUGAAAACAAAAGUAAAUAACAGAAAAAUAAAUGGUAAACUUCAGAACACUUUCCAGAAUUAUCUAGGUUUUUUUUUUCUUCUAAACAUUUAUGUCCUAGGGCACAUUACCUCUGAGGCAAAGAUCUCAGAAAACUGAUAAAAAAUGUUGACCUGGCGCUGUAAACAAUAACGGGGGGCAGCGAUUGCACCAGCACAGGAUGGAGGCCCGGGGCCGCUCUCAAGCUCCGUCUCGACACUGAGCCGGAUCACGGGACACAGUGGUAGCCACUAGGAUGCUUUCCACCAGGUGGUUCUAUGGAGGCCACGGGUGAGAUUGAGAUGGUGAGGAUCCCGCCAUCUCCAGCUGUGUUCCAGGCCCCGGAACCUCCUUGCUCCUGACAGACAGCCAACGUGAUAGGGAAUUCACUGGAAAGAUGGUCUACUUCUUUCUGUGGUCAUC
Molecule: long non-coding RNA, 2064 nt
Organism: Equus caballus (horse)
Lineage: Eukaryota; Metazoa; Chordata; Mammalia; Perissodactyla; Equidae
Source: Ensembl